AUUGAACGCUGGCGGCAGGCCUAACACAUGCAAGUCGAGCGGUAGAGAGAAGCUUGCUUCUCUUGAGAGCGGCGGACGGGUGAGUAAUGCCUAGGAAUCUGCCUGGUAGUGGGGGAUAACGUUCGGAAACGGACGCUAAUACCGCAUACGUCCUACGGGAGAAAGCAGGGGACCUUCGGGCCUUGCGCUAUCAGAUGAGCCUAGGUCGGAUUAGCUAGUUGGUGGGGUAAUGGCUCACCAAGGCGACGAUCCGUAACUGGUCUGAGAGGAUGAUCAGUCACACUGGAACUGAGACACGGUCCAGACUCCUACGGGAGGCAGCAGUGGGGAAUAUUGGACAAUGGGCGAAAGCCUGAUCCAGCCAUGCCGCGUGUGUGAAGAAGGUCUUCGGAUUGUAAAGCACUUUAAGUUAGGAGGAAGGGCCAUUACCUAAUACGUGAUGGUUUUGACGUUACCGACAGAAUAAGCACCGGCUAACUCUGUGCCAGCAGCCGCGGUAAUACAGAGGGUGCAAGCGUUAAUCGGAAUUACUGGGCGUAAAGCGCGCGUAGGUGGUUUGUUAAGUUGGAUGUGAAAUCCCCGGGCUCAACCUGGGAACUGCAUUCAAAACUGACUGACUAGAG
RNAcentral lists this ribosomal RNA (623 nucleotides) under uncultured bacterium. Its description in RNAcentral is "bacterial SSU rRNA". It matches the Rfam family "Bacterial small subunit ribosomal RNA", at positions 28 to 646 of the family's 1533-position model. The record is from RNAcentral.